UCGUAGAAAACAUUGUGUAAGUGGGAAGAAACAAAUUUUUCAGGAGAAAAAGAAACCUUACGCGGAUGCAGUGUAGACCAGGUUCGUGAGAAAGAGAAGCGCGUAUCGUUUAUUUGCUGUUAUUUGCGAAGAAAAUUCAAUGUUCUUUUCGGUUGGACAGAUAUUAAUUUAGGAAGGGAAAUUGCACUUAGAUUCUAUACCGCGAUGUUCUCAUUGCAACGUAGAGAACAUUCUUCGACGAGUGAUGGAAAUCUUUCAAUUUUGACGCUUACAGAGUCUUUUACGACCGCUCUUCGAUUCCACGAUUGGAUGGUGUUUUGUUAUUGGGUGCAGAAAUAGCGAGCGUUAAUUGGACGAUGUAUGUUAAUGUUUAUCUUUGGCUACAAUUUUUCGCGAACGCUUCAAUUUUGCGAACCUAUGCCGGAGAAGCGUGUGGAAAGAUUCGCGCGAAAGACAUCCGCGGAAAAGUAUACAAGCAAACGAAGAGAAUGGAGUACACGAGGCGUUAGACGAAUAGAUUGAUCCGUUCGUUCAAGGAGAAG
RNAcentral lists this unclassified non-coding RNA (542 nucleotides) under Bombus terrestris (buff-tailed bumblebee). RNAcentral's name for it is "misc RNA ENSBTSG00005035962.1". The record is from RNAcentral. Lineage: Eukaryota; Metazoa; Arthropoda; Insecta; Hymenoptera; Apidae.